This 250-nucleotide ribosomal RNA is filed under the name uncultured bacterium. RNAcentral's name for it is "partial 16S ribosomal RNA". It matches the Rfam family "Bacterial small subunit ribosomal RNA", at positions 29 to 252 of the family's 1533-position model. The record is from RNAcentral.
AACGAACGCUGGCGGCGUGGAUAAGACAUGCAAGUCGAACGCUUAUUUCGGUGUAGCAAUACAAUCGGAGUAGGACGUGGCGCAAGGGUGCGUAACACGUGGGUAAUUUGCCGUAGAAGUCCGGGAUAACUUGCUGAAAGGCGAAGCUAAUACCGGAUGUGGAAAAUUGGAAGGCAUCUUUUGAUUUCUGAAGUUGGGGACCGCAAGGCCUGACGCUUUACGAUAAGCCCGCGGCCUANCAGCUAGUUGG